GCCAUAACAAAGGAGCCCCAGGGCAAGGGGCAAGGAGCGGUCCCAAAGGUGGAAUCCAGGGUGAGAGGACCAGGAGAGCGAACAUACACCAGGGAAACAGCAACCAGGAGGAGAUAACUACCGGACAUUCACAAGAAUACCAAGUGUAAAGAGGACAACAACUUAUACAUCAUGAGAACAGAUUGCUGAUUGGUUGAUCUUACAAGAAUAUCCUGGGAUCGCCGAAGGAGGAAUCGGUUACCACUGCACAACUGAAAAAGGACAACGUCAGUUCUCCAGAGGUUUUACAGGACAAACAUAAUUUCAAGACAAUAACAAUGUGACUCCACUGCCCAUUUGUAAAAUAUUUCAGUUUUAAUGCUAUAUACUUUUUGAAAUCAGAAUUAGAACUACACACUUGCUAUGUGGUUAGAAAGGCUGUUUUACAUACUGGAGGGUCAAGCAACGUUCUUCCCCACUUGUAAGCUGAACCCAUUUCUAGACAGCAUGGAAACUGGCUAGGUCAAAUGAUUGACAAAACAGAUCA
This is a long non-coding RNA of Carcharodon carcharias (great white shark), 526 nucleotides long. RefSeq lists it as uncharacterized. The transcript is spliced from 3 exons. The record is from RefSeq and is a predicted model, not a curated record. NCBI's taxonomy places the organism in Eukaryota, Metazoa, Chordata, Chondrichthyes, Lamniformes, Lamnidae.